UAGCACUACUGUAUGGAGCCCCUAAAGGGACAUGGGGUAAAAUAAAAAUAAAACGUUUCUCGUGCUCACGUGAAAGGUAUCUCGUGAGCACGAGAAAGUUUUCUCGUGAGCACGAGAAACCUUAGGUUUAACACAGGCAGUUGUGCUUCCUGUGCGUAUGCCUCUAGGCUCAUUAAGAUCAUUAACCUCAAAGAAUGGCUGCGGAAGUGAACUUAUUCUCUUUCCUGAAAACGCGAAAUAUACCAGAUAGUGUCAUCAACCAACUGAAAGAUGAUAAGGUAAAGAUAAAUGUUAACUAUAGCCAUGUAAAGUAAUCAAUAUAUGUAUAAUGUUUCUAGCUUCCUUACCUGCUAUGUUAAUAUAAUUUUUCAAAGUUUUAGACAUUUGCCUUGCUUGUUACAGAUCAACAUCAACGUCAUAGGUGUUAUGACAGAUGAGGAGUUAGGACAGUAUAUCGUCAGAUAUGGGGCCCGACUUGCACUCAGAGCAUUCUGUCGUCAAAGAACUGUGAUAACUGAGAAGUCCAGAGGAGCAGAGAGUAAGAGACAGGCUCGGGGAACAACAGAAAACUCCUGCCAACAGAGACACAGAAGGCUCCAGUAUUGUUGGCAUGCAGUCAAAACCACCCGGCGGGUUGAAAUGAGAUGGCUCCACUUUGAUAAGAGCACUUAUCACCAGAUCAAAACAACAAAUGGACAGCACCUGUCAGUCCAGAAAUCAGUAACUAUGGGUGAACUGGUGGAGACGGGCGUUUUUUCCAAAUGGAUAUUCAUCCAAAGGGCCAGUGGAAGACUUAGAGUUUGAUAUUCGUUAUUACAGUCACAAUGAAGUAUUCGAUGAAGUCACAGUGAGCCAGCUGUAUGAGCAGACUAAGCUACGAAUGUUGCGCAUCUACACAACCUCCAAGGCUAAAGACAUAAUACUUCUCUCUGAUGCAUCAUCGGACUUCAAGCCCACAGAUGAGAGGCCAAUGAAGACUAGGACAAUGCAGAGAGGAUCCUUGAGGAACAAAACCAGGAGACGAUAUCACUGGAGGACUGGAGCUGAUCAUCAAGUGAAUCAUACAGAGAGCUCCACUGAUUUAUAUCCAGCACCCAGUGGCUCAAUGAAGUAAAACCAUGAAAACAGAGGAGAACCAAUCAGUCAAUCAUGACCAGCAACUCCUGAGAUGAGCAACACAGAGGUCCUGCAUCCACCAUCUUCUGAUGAUGUUGGCAGUCAUAUUAGGCAGUCGACAAGCAGGCAUGGAUCUGAAGAUGACCGUUGAAUGCCUGUGUCAAAUCAAGAUGCAGACCUGUUGUUAAGUGACGAGUCAGACUCCCCACUUGCCCUUGCCAUCCAAGCAUCUCUUGAGGACUCUGAAGUAUACUUUGGACAUGUUUGUGGUGAUGAUGGUAAUAAUCAAGACUCCACCCUUCCCUGGAAUCCAUAUGACUUCAACAGUAUGCAGCACUCCACACUGAAUGACGAACCUGUAUAAUCAAGCAGUCUUCCAGCAUCACCAGACCCAUUUGAAAAAGAACUCUUUCUUGUGAAAGUAAGACGGGUAAACAUAGUUGUCCUUAUGUCCUUAAUAUCUUCAUGGAACCAAAACUACUGAAUGCUAAUCUAAAAUCUAAUCUAAUUUCUAAUUUUCUAAUUUCUUAAUCUAAUUUUGGAGUGUACAAAUGAGAAAGCUGUGGACACUGAUGGUGUGUCAAGAGAGGUAUACUCUGCAUUCUGGGAAGAUUUCUUGGAACAGUGUGAGGGGGAAGAUGAACGAGUACCCAGACUACGACCAGACUAUUCUGAGAAAGCAUGGCAAGCUCUUGGAAGAGUGUGGUUGAAAGGAUACCUGGACUACAAAAUCAUACCAAUCAGACUAUCACCAGCUUUUGUUGUUGCCUGUUGUCAAGGACUUGGUUCAGUGGAUGAAGAACUCUUGAUGAUGUCAUUUGCCAGAUUUGUUUCAGAGAAUGAGCGUGCAUCACUUGAAAAAGCACUACAGGGCAACAUUGAUGAAACUGUUGAAGAGGACUUACUUGACGUCUUCUCAAGAUUGGGCUCACACCGCCUGCCAAUAAGACAAUAUGCGGGCUACCAUUUUAACAAUGGCACACAAAGCUCUUCUUCAAGAGCUAAAGUUCAUAACUGACUGUUUCCAUUCCAGUAUUCACAAUGCUGUGCCAACACUCAUUACCAAAGAAAGCAUAAUGGAGCUUUAUGAAUCUAAGCGGCCAACUAACAAGAAAGUGGCCCAGAUGAUAAAGCCAUCAACUGAAAGCCUAAAUUCACAAGAGCAGACAGCUCUUAACCACCUGCUGCGGUAUGUGAGAAGCAUCGACCAAAGAAAACUGGAGAUCUUCUUACGCUUCUGCACAGGGUCCACUGUUCUGUACACAGACACAAUCAAAGUAACUUUUAAAAGAUUAGGUUAAUAGAUAAGUUGCAGUCGCAGUUCCUCUUCUAUUUACACUGUUAUGGAAUUUGUCUGAAACAAACUGUUUCUACAGAUUUAAAUGUAUUUAUAUUUUUUUUUUUAAAAAUGUGUUUGUUCAUUCAUGUAUUACAACAAAGAAAAAGUGUACUCCAAGGAGAGGAGAUGAAAUCAGAUGCAUAAUCUGAUGACAUUGCUUUAUUACUCUUAAAACUGAAACAGUUUUUACAUUUUUAGCUUUAUUUUUGUUAUUUUCUCAUUUUUAACACUUUUGCUUUGUCAGCACACUGAGUUUUAAAUUUUGCUUUGUUAAAUCAUUUUGAUAAGUCAUCAAGGCCUGCUAUCCAUCCAUCCAUCCAUCCAUCAUCUGUACAUAUUCUAUGUACGCCGCUUAAUCCUCUGCAGGGUCGCGGGGAGGCCUGCUAUCAUGGGUGAACAUCCCUUUUUCAGGCAUGUAUCAUUUUCACAUUAUCAUGUGCAUGUUUUAUGCAAUUGUUAUUAAGAAAGAAAUUCAGCAUUCAACAAAAUAAUACCUGUUCAAUACACAUAGUUUUUUUGGAGCCUCAUAUGGUAAACAUACAGACAGUAACUGUCAAGAGCACAAUAUGGUGGAAUAAGAAUGUAACUCCUCUUUCAUGUCCUGCCUUGUUGUUUUUCUUUGUUGUGAUUUUGUUCGUUUCCCAUUCAUGGUUGAUGUAAAGGCAAAGUAAAACAUCUACGACAAUAUUAUAACUUGUAAAACAAAUUUAAGUCUCUAUUUCCAGCACAAAGAAUUGUCUGAUCAUGUGUUGAGUUUAGAUGGAUACAAAUGUUGUUCCGUCUCAAAUUAGAGAGCGGAUCUUAUCUCAUUCCUCAAAUGCAGGUACAAAUUCAAUGCUUGAUAAGCAUCAGCUGGAAGAUGCAGCUCUGACCCCAUCAUCAGAAUGUUGCAGAUGUUGUAGAUGUGUGUGUCACAUGGCACUGCUGGUCGAAAUGUGCAGUUACUCUGACACAACUGUACAUCAGCUCUGUCCACUGGGGAAAUGCGGUCAUCACUUGUGCAGAGUUCUGGGAACAUGUACAUGAUUCGAGGUCGACCACUGUAUCCUGUCAUUCUUGGAUGGUCUGAUGACAUGACAUGACACGUGGAUGGUCUCAUCUAAUUCGUCCUAGAAAAACGGUAUAUUAUAAAGUAAGAACACAACUUAACUGAUAUGCAAUUUGUUAUUCUCAUGUGGGCUUUAGAUAAGUUUUGAGAUAUCCAUCCAUCCAUCCAUCCAUCCA
Acanthopagrus latus (yellowfin seabream) is the source of this 3679-nucleotide long non-coding RNA. RefSeq lists it as uncharacterized. The record is from RefSeq and is a predicted model, not a curated record. The transcript has 4 exons. NCBI's taxonomy places the organism in Eukaryota, Metazoa, Chordata, Actinopteri, Spariformes, Sparidae.